This 471-nucleotide ribosomal RNA is filed under the name uncultured bacterium. RNAcentral describes it as "bacterial SSU rRNA". It matches the Rfam family "Bacterial small subunit ribosomal RNA", at positions 355 to 825 of the family's 1533-position model. The record is from RNAcentral.
UCGAGAAUCUUCCGCAAUGGGCGAAAGCCUGACGGAGCGACGCCGCGUGUAGGAUGAAGGCCCUCGGGUUGUAAACUACUGUCACGGGUUAUGAAUGUGCAUAUGUUAACAGCGUGUGUAUUGACGUAAGCCCGAAAGGAAGCACCGGCUAACUCUGUGCCAGCAGCCGCGGUAAUACAGAGGUGGCAAGCGUUGUUCGGAAUUACUGGGCGUAAAGGGCGCGUAGGCGGCCUCCUAAGUCGGACGUGAAAGCCCCAGGCUUAACCUGGGAACUGCGUCUGAUACUGGGAGGCUUGGAUUCGGGAGAGGGAUGUGGAAUUCCAGGUGUAGCGGUGAAAUGCGUAGAUAUCUGGAGGAACACCGGUGGCGAAGGCGGCAUCCUGGACCGAGAUCGACGCUGAGGCGCGAAAGCUAGGGGAGCAAACGGGAUUAGAUACCCAGGUAGUCCCUGAGCGGGCUGGCAAGGCGCAU